Long non-coding RNA from Cyanistes caeruleus (blue tit), 1635 nucleotides. The record is from Ensembl. NCBI's taxonomy places the organism in Eukaryota, Metazoa, Chordata, Aves, Passeriformes, Paridae.
AUGAGCGGAUCCCACCGGCCGCUUCCAGACCCACCGCAUCCGGCGGGGGAAGGCCUGCCAUCUUGUCCCGGGGGUCCAGCGGGGCACGAGCAGCGAGGCGGAGCCGCCUCCCGAGGGGCGCCCCCCGUCCUGCCGCGCACGCGCCACUGCCCAAGAUGGCCGCGGGGCCGCCCCUUAAAGGUCUCCCGCCAAGGGAAGGGGUUAGGGGACAGGUGGAGGUUACGGGAUAUGCGAAAUGGCACUGUGGCGAGCAGGGGGAGGGAGGGAAGGGGAGGGAGGAAGGAAGGAAGGAAGGAAGGGGAGGGAGGGACGAGCGGACAAGCGCGCGAGCGCUGUCACUGGCCUUGCGCCCGGCACAGGGCUCUCACGGAAGCCUCUGCGGCUGUAAAAUGGGUGUUGAGCAUCGCUGUGCAUCCAGGGCCGCUGUGCAUCCAGGGCGUGCCGCGGCCCCGCCUUUCUCUUCUGCUUGUGGCGCUCUUUAGUGUCCAACAACAAUGCAAAACGCUUAGAACGAAUCGCUGUACGAGCCCUCUCCUCUGCAGUUAUGGAAAGAUGAAGCUGCAAAGUUAUAUCAUCUGAGUGACAGCCGACUCGAACCUCAUAAACUUGCGUAUUGAUGUGAGAACUACUAUUCUUUACUGUAAAGUACUACCGAAGUUCUGUGUCUGAUUAAGGACUCACUACUCUGGGAGCUCACUUACGGUUGGACUUGUUAUAGAUGAUAAAAUAAUACAAGCAUUUGCAUUCAUAGGUUAGCUUUUGCAUCACAAGCAUUUUGAUAUGGUCAUGAAAAGAACAGGCAAAGAGACCAGCUUCUUUUUAAUGCCUUUAUUAAGGUCAGCUCUAGGUGGGGGAGCUCAAGAGGCUGCACCCACCACUGCUGCUCCCAAUGCACGACCCAGAGAAAGAAAUAUUAAGCUUUGUCUCAUGGCAGAGCUGGGGCUUCCAUCUUCCCAAGAAUUCCUAGGAACACUUGGGCUUGCUGUAAAUCUAGGGUGGUCAGGCACAGCAAGUGUUGUGUAGGUAUGGCAACAAGGUUGGGAAUAUCAGUAAGUUGCACAGCGUUCUCCCUUGCUCCUCAAUGUAGUUUGGAGUUCGGUUUGUGCCAUGGCUCACUGAUUCUAGGGGUCUUUAGAUGUUGAUUCCACUUCCCCUGGGUGCCAACCCCCGUGGGAGUUUGACUUACCUACAUACUGGGCAGUGUCACCAGCUGCCAUUAUGGGGUGCCUGGAGCAGCAGAGGCAAUAUAAAGGGCCACGUGGCAUUUAACAAGGCUGUCAGAACAUUGAUCUUUACCAAACAGGACACAACAUGAGGUAUUUAACAAAGAAGGCACCUUAUGGUGAAAAUAUUCUACUUUUCAAACCGAAAACAUCUUUGUAUACUGAUCAGGAGGUCACAUAUAACUCUACAGUACAACUUCUAACUGCUUUAUAUGAUGUCAGUUUAUGUAUGCACUGUAUAGUUCAUAUGAAGAGUAGUGUAAAAAUGUAUCGUAGGCCUUAGCAAAAUGUUAAAAUAGAGACUAAAAUACUUUUACGUAACUAACUCAGAAAAUUAUGUAAAGCAAUUAUUCUGUUUCUUACAUCCGUGGACUAGCCUCUCCAAGUAAUAAAAUAACAGUGACAAGAAACA